This 283-nucleotide long non-coding RNA is filed under the name Carica papaya (papaya). Its description in RNAcentral is "long non-coding RNA (CPAP_LNC015106)". Lineage: Eukaryota; Viridiplantae; Streptophyta; Magnoliopsida; Brassicales; Caricaceae. The record is from RNAcentral.
AGAAAGGAAAAGGGGAGGGAAAUUUAUAGAGUUUUGAAACUAUUAGAUUCGAGCCAAGUGGCAAAAGCUGGUGAAGAGAGAGGAGAAAAAGAUGUUUAACAUGAAAAACGAAGGAGGAGGGCCUCCUCCACCGACGACGGUGGUGCCUCGCCCAAGGAAGUGGUGGUACACAACUCAAGGUGGCAGUGUUUUGGUAGAUGCACUGCAGGCUAGCCUGUAGGCACAUAGGCCUCCUGCCACGCGCAAGCCCCAGGCGCACAGGGCCUAUCCGCACAGGCCUACU